Molecule: long non-coding RNA, 539 nt
Filed under: Manihot esculenta (cassava)
Lineage: Eukaryota; Viridiplantae; Streptophyta; Magnoliopsida; Malpighiales; Euphorbiaceae
Description: long non-coding RNA (MESC_LNC009771)
Source: RNAcentral
AAUAAGAUUGGUGUUCUUCAAAAAUCUUUUCAGAUUUAUUAUUGUGAAACUGUUUUUAUCUAGAAAAUUAAAAUAGUUUAAUUUUUUAUUAAAUUAAUUUUUUAAUAAAAUAAAAAAAGGAAAAUUGAAAGCAGGAAUCACGAUGAACAGUCAUCGUGAACCCAGUUGGCCACGACGCGGCUCGCCGUCGCCACGUACAAUCGCCAUGUGAUGGUUGUCGGUGACGCCUAGUGAUGGUGCGACUAAGGAAGUGGUGGUCGCUGAGCAUGAGUUGGUCGUCUUCUUUGCCGUCGAAAACGAGGAAAAUGGGAUUCUCGAUUCUGUCAAUCGCGGACUGCUGCUGUCAGAGAAGGCUGGCUAGGGAGCGCAAGCGUUGCGCCGCCUUUGGCAUCUUGCACUGGCGACUUGAGCAGCCGACUAUUCUGCAGGUGGGACGUUGGGGGCUUCGAGGCCCAGAUGGGUCUCGACUCCUCGCGAUUUUUGUAAAUCGCGAGCUUGUCAGUGUUGUUUAAUCCCUCGACGAAUUGCUUGCAUGAUCU